Mytilus californianus (California mussel) is the source of this 144-nucleotide long non-coding RNA. RefSeq lists it as uncharacterized. The transcript has 2 exons. The record is from RefSeq and is a predicted model, not a curated record. NCBI's taxonomy places the organism in Eukaryota, Metazoa, Mollusca, Bivalvia, Mytilida, Mytilidae.
UUUAAGCUUGCCACCAUCAAUGUCCAUGUUACUCUUAACAAUUGUGAACGUUAUUACGAAUGGGACAGAACACUAAGUGAGAUGGAAUAAUAUAUUUUAUAUAUAUUAAAAAAUCAAAGAAUAAAAUAAAGUUUCAAUUAUGAU